RNAcentral lists this ribosomal RNA (448 nucleotides) under Salmonella enterica subsp. enterica serovar Infantis. RNAcentral's name for it is "partial 23S ribosomal RNA". It matches the Rfam family "Bacterial large subunit ribosomal RNA", at positions 147 to 631 of the family's 2925-position model. Lineage: Bacteria; Pseudomonadati; Pseudomonadota; Gammaproteobacteria; Enterobacterales; Enterobacteriaceae. The record is from RNAcentral. RNAcentral also lists the same sequence under 1 other name.
ACUAUCAUUAACUGAAUCCAUAGGUUAAUGAGGCGAACCGGGGGAACUGAAACAUCUAAGUACCCCGAGGAAAAGAAAUCAACCGAGAUUCCCCCAGUAGCGGCGAGCGAACGGGGAGGAGCCCAGAGCCUGAAUCAGCAUGUGUGUUAGUGGAAGCGUCUGGAAAGGCGCGCGAUACAGGGUGACAGCCCCGUACACAAAAGCGCAUGUGCUGUGAGCUCGAUGAGUAGGGCGGGACACGUGGUAUCCUGUCUGAAUAUGGGGGGACCAUCCUCCAAGGCUAAAUACUCCUGACUGACCGAUAGUGAACCAGUACCGUGAGGGAAAGGCGAAAAGAACCCCGGCGAGGGGAGUGAAAAAGAACCUGAAACCGUGUACGUACAAGCAGUGGGAGCACAGGUUUACCUGUGUGACUGCGUACCUUUUGUAUAAUGGGUCAGCGACUUAU